GACAGAGGCCCCAAGCGUUAGGCGGAAUCACUGGGCUUAAAGCGUGUGUAGGCGGACGCCUAAGUGUCUUGUGAAAUCCCACGGCUCACCCGUGGAACUGCUGGGCAUACUGGGCGUCUUGGGCCAACUAGGGGCAGCCGGAACAAGCGGUGGAGCGGUGAAAUGCGUAGAUAUCGCUUGGAACGCCGAAGGUGAAAACAGGCUGCUGGGGUUGCGCCGACGCUG
RNAcentral lists this ribosomal RNA (225 nucleotides) under uncultured bacterium. RNAcentral describes it as "partial 16S ribosomal RNA". It matches the Rfam family "Bacterial small subunit ribosomal RNA", at positions 524 to 748 of the family's 1533-position model. The record is from RNAcentral.